GGAUCAUUGUCGAAAUCGAACGGAAAAACGACCCGCGAAUCGUCAUUGCGUAGUAGACAGAGCCCGUGAGCAGCUAACGCUCAUGGGGCUCGCGUCGCGUCGGCGCGGGUGUACUCGAGACCCGCGUCGUACCGACGGACAAACAACGUCAGCACGGAUCGUGCCAAGGAGCCGCAUGGAGAGAAUCGUCGUCCCACGCCUUUGAUAGUCCCCGAUGUGGGACGGGGGACGUACGCAAUCUCUAAUCAAGUCUAAACGACUCUCGGCAACGGAUAUCUCGGCUCUUGCAUCGAUGAAGAACGYAGCGAAAUGCGAUACUUGGUGUGAAUUGCAGAAUCCCGUGAACCAUCAAUUCUUUGAACGCAAGUUGCGCCCGAAGCCACACAGGCCGAGGGCACGCCUGCCUGGGUGUCGUGAAUCCCCUUGCCCCUGGGCACCCGCACGAGCAUCGGCGGGGAUAUACGCUGGGGCGCAGAAUAUGGUCUCCCGUGGGAUCGGCAUGCACGGCAUGUCGAGGUGCGGUUGGCCGAAAAUCGAGCAUGGCGGUGACGGGCACCACGGCGUUCGGUGGAUCGAAUGAGAUUGGCUGCGCCGUGGGCUCGGCAUGCGGCGGGCUCCGGACUUUGAAUUUCCCCGAGUGCGAUCCCAGGUCAGGCGGGGCUACCCGCUGAGUUUAAGCAUAUCAAUAAGCGGAGGAAAAGAAACUAACGAGGAUUCCCUUAGUAGCGGC
This 730-nucleotide ribosomal RNA is filed under the name Miconia cerasiflora. RNAcentral describes it as "eukaryotic LSU rRNA". The record is from RNAcentral. Lineage: Eukaryota; Viridiplantae; Streptophyta; Magnoliopsida; Myrtales; Melastomataceae.